This is a long non-coding RNA of Canis lupus familiaris (dog), 795 nucleotides long. RefSeq lists it as uncharacterized. NCBI's taxonomy places the organism in Eukaryota, Metazoa, Chordata, Mammalia, Carnivora, Canidae. The record is from RefSeq and is a predicted model, not a curated record. The transcript is spliced from 6 exons.
GAACAAUAAAAUAAUGGAAAAUCCUGGCUACAUAUUGAAGCCCUAAACAAAGAGUUGGCUUUCCAGUUCAAGUUGGCUAAGGUUGCUGGAAAACAAAGAAACUAUAUCAUCACAAUUCUGAAAGCCAACUGAACCUAGAAUUCCAUACCCAGCCCAAUUCUCAUGGGAAGGUAGGAACCAGUGGUCAUCAGCAACAAAGGUCCUGAAGAGAGAUCAGUCUCCAAAGAGAAUGAAAGCGGGGCUUUGUGAAGCCAUGAAUACAAGAUGCAGUGACCUGUGAAUAAGCACAGUCAACUAGUACUAAAAGAAAAUCAGAUUGGAGGCUCUAUUGCAGACCAAGCCAGAGCUAAAAAGAUGACAGUCACCUUUAGGAUAUAGCAAGCAAAGUGUGACUUAAAGCCUGACUACCUUUAAGGAGAGAAGGUCACAAUGCCAGGAUGGAUCAUGACUAAGAGGAGAGCAAUAUUCAAAGGGAGCAAAUAUCUUCUCCAGAAUUUUGGACUUUAUGGGAACACAUACCGAAAGUUGGAAACAGAGACCUUCGUGGACCCUCUGUAAAAUACCUGCCUCUGUGAAUGGCUGCCCUCGAGUGCCCUGGCUUUUGACAGUGCAAGAAUGACUGCCUUUUGGGGCUGGACUGUACUAUGGGGGAGAAACUAGAUCCUAUUUGUGCAGAAAUGGAUCACCUCAUUGAGAGCUUUCUGUAACUACAACUACCAGAGGCCUAUUGCUUAACUAUUUCAUGACCACAUUAAUAUAGAGUAACACUGUUAUGUGUAAAAGAAGCCUCCAUCU